Long non-coding RNA from Oreochromis aureus, 375 nucleotides. RefSeq lists it as uncharacterized. Lineage: Eukaryota; Metazoa; Chordata; Actinopteri; Cichliformes; Cichlidae. The transcript has 4 exons. The record is from RefSeq and is a predicted model, not a curated record.
GUCCUAGAAAGAAACGUCCGUGCUGCGUUGAGGUCACCAACCUCGAUAUGAUCACUGAGAUGCUGAGGCUGAUACGACCGGCUCCCCUUAUUUUGACUCCGGUCAGUGAGCCAGACCACCGGUGGAAAUGUCUGUGAAGAUCCUCUCCGUCACUCUCCUCCUGGUCUCAAUGUGUGUGUGCUGCCACUCCUCUGAAGUGCUCGUCUUCCUGGAAUUAAACCACCGUGAAUUAAACCAAAGGCAAUGUGAGUGCUGACGUGGUGGGGGAAACUUAUCGUGAGCAGGCUGCAAGACAUCCCUGUGUGAAGGCUAUAAUUUUCAACACAAAAACUGGACAACUUUGUGCUGAUCCAAAUGCUCAGUGGGUCAAGGAUC